Long non-coding RNA from Xenopus tropicalis (tropical clawed frog), 1726 nucleotides. RefSeq lists it as uncharacterized. The record is from RefSeq and is a predicted model, not a curated record. The transcript is spliced from 6 exons. NCBI's taxonomy places the organism in Eukaryota, Metazoa, Chordata, Amphibia, Anura, Pipidae.
UAACCAAUAACCUUUAUCCCAUUUGGGAGAAGCUCAGUCCCGGGGCCCCGGGGCCCAUGUUGGCUGCCAGUGCUCUUAUCUCCCCUUGAGGCAAUGAGGCCAAAGGUAGAAACGAGAGGCUCUUAUCUCCCCGGGGCUCAUCCAAUCAGGCGGAUCUGGAGAUACCGAGAGGGACAAUAUGGCUGCUCUGUCCCUGAGUCAUAUUCCCAGCAUGCACUGGGAGACUCGCUGUAUGUAGAAUGAUAUAUUAUUAUAUGUGGCUCAUCUGCACUGGAACAGGGGCUUAAUGGGGGACUUGCCCCACCGCUGCCUUCCUGCCCCUCUGUAUGAGACUCACUGGCACAUUUCAGCUGCCAAUUAGGGUCCUUCAGACUGAUUCGCCAGCUUAUCUGCCCGUGUAUGCCCCCCCCCCAGGGGGCGCUCUUUCUGUGCCUGUGUGCGCCCCUGUGCUGCAGCUCCCAGGGCAUUGUGGGAAUAUGACUCCAAUAUACUAAUAAGCUAAUUAGCUAAUAACAUACGGCGCUCUAAUCCCUACAGAUUCAUUCUCUGCCAGAGAUUUAGCUUCCCGGCCAGCUGCGCUGAAUAGAGACCCUCGCCGAGCAGAGACCCUCACCGAGCAGAGACCCUCACCGAGCAGAGACCCUCACCGAGCAGAGACCCUCACCGAGCAGAGACCCUCACUGAGCAGAGAGACCCUCACUGAAUAGAGACCCUCACUGAGCAGAGACCCUCACUGAAUAGAGACCCUCACUGAGCAGAGACCCUCACUGAGCAGAGACCCUCACCGAGCAGAGACCCUCACCGAGCAGAGACCCUCACUGAGCAGAGACCCUCACUGAAUAGCAGAGACCCUCACCGAGCAGAGACCCUCACCGAGCAGAGACCCUCACCGAGCAGAGACCCUCACCGAGCAGAGACCCUCACCGAGCAGAGACCCUCACUGAGCAGAGACCCUCACUGACCAGAGACCCUCACUGACAAGAGAUCCUCGCUGAGCAGAGACCCUCGCUGAGCAGAGACCCUCGCCGAGCAGAGACCCUCCUAGGAGUCCCAUUCAGCCCAAGGUCCCAAGCUUUUCCCCCUUCAACUCCCAGCAGAGACUGAGCAGAGACCCUCACUGAGCAGAGACCUUGACUGACUAGAGACCCUCACUGAGCAGAGACCCUCGCCGAACAGAGAGACCCUCGCCGAGCAGACACCCUCACCGAGCAGAGACCCUCACUGACAAGAGAUCCUCACUGAGCAGAGACCCUCGCUGAGCAGAGACCCUCACUGAGCAGAGACCCUCGCCGAGCAGAGACCCUCGCCGAGCAGAGACCCUCCUAGGAGUCCCAUUCAGCCCAAGGUCCCAAGCUUUUCCCCCUUCAACUCCCAGGACUGCGCAGAGAUGGGGUGCGGACCCUCCGCCAAUGCAGCUCCGGUGGAACGCAGAGACUGCACAGACAGUGAUGACCGACCUCCGACUUCAAUCACCUACGUGCCCUGCGGAUCGGUAAUUGAUGAGAUGCCGGAGGAGGGAGAGCCGAUUCACGAUGAAGCCAAUGGGUAGAAGCGUGUUGCUCGUUGGAGGAAGAGAGAAAAGGAAAGGAAAUGAAUGCGCAUUGGGGGCAAUCACUAAGAUUUUCACUUCUUGACUUCAAUGAAAAAGAAAAGGCACAGUAAAUAAUGAUUCAGAAAAUCAUUCACAAAACGGAUUUCUAAUGUAUUAAAAUGGCUGAGAAAGUGG